AUGUCAAAAAGAGGAGGAGGUAUCGGUUUUCAAGAUAUGCACCUUUUUAAUCAGGUGUUGCUGGCUAAACAAGCUUGGAGUUUGAUUCAAAAUCUUGAGAGUCUAUGUGCGAGAGUACUGAAAGCCAAGUACUACCCCAAUGGGAGCUUGCUUGAUACCGUCUUUGCGCCGGAUGCGUCCCAGGUGUGGAGGGCGAUUGAAUUUGGGAUAGAACUUCUAAAAAAGGUCUUCUCUGGAGAGUGGGUGAUGGCAAAAGUAUACCAAUUCAGCGAGAUCAAUGGAUUCGAAGGAAAGAGGGACUCAUGA
RNAcentral lists this ribosomal RNA (306 nucleotides) under Triticum aestivum (bread wheat). Its description in RNAcentral is "partial small subunit ribosomal RNA". Lineage: Eukaryota; Viridiplantae; Streptophyta; Magnoliopsida; Poales; Poaceae. The record is from RNAcentral.